GCAAACUUGGUCAUUUAGAGGAAGUAAAAGUCGUAACAAGGUUUCCGUAGGUGAACCUGCGGAAGGAUCAUUAACAGUAAUGGGACCUCGGUCCCGCCGGCUGAUUAAUUUCAGGCUUGAUACGACGGCCGCGGGGAGGUCUUCCCCCCUGCGGUCGUACGGCAAGCUUUCCACCCUUUGUGAAACACCCCGGUUGCUUGAGGCAGCGCGUCGGUCCCCUCCCCGCCCGCUUCGGCGCGGCGGCAGGUCCGACGGUGAGCCUGCCGACGGCACAUUGCAAAACCCAUUCUUGAAAUGAAGCACACGAGACGUCUGAGCGCGAAGUCGAAUUGACUAUAAAACUUUCAACAACGGAUCUCUUGGUUCCCGCAUCGAUGAAGAACGCAGC
RNAcentral lists this unclassified non-coding RNA (388 nucleotides) under uncultured fungus. RNAcentral's name for it is "partial contains small subunit ribosomal RNA, internal transcribed spacer 1, and 5.8S ribosomal RNA". The stretch from base 1 to 73 matches the Rfam family "Eukaryotic small subunit ribosomal RNA", at positions 1759 to 1831 of the family's 1831-position model. Lineage: Eukaryota; Fungi. The record is from RNAcentral.